This 1506-nucleotide ribosomal RNA is filed under the name Triticum aestivum (bread wheat). RNAcentral describes it as "partial small subunit ribosomal RNA". Lineage: Eukaryota; Viridiplantae; Streptophyta; Magnoliopsida; Poales; Poaceae. The record is from RNAcentral.
AUGUCAAACAUUAUGCCAGAGGUUGUCCAGGAAAACAGCACAUCUACAAGCAGCCUUGUCCCCCCAUCUCUCAAACGUGUCAACAUUAGCACAUGUGGCGUAACUGGGAGGUGGCUAUCUCAACUGCUUUCACAUUCGCAGUCCCUUGAGGAGUUGCUGUUAACUGGCUGUCCGCAGAUAAAGUUUCUAUCAAUCAGUCAACCUAGAGAAAUGGAAGGGACCAGCAGUUUGGUUUCAGCAGUGACGACCUCGGCCCAAGAUGAACAUGAAUUGAAACUGCCAUAUAAUCUCCUAUGUUCUCUCAAGGCGCUAUGCAUUCAGCUAAGCCUGGAUCUGGAGUUCUGUGGGGGUUACAGAGACUUCGCAGGAUUCACCUCUCUUACGGACCUAGUCCUUUUUGGUUGCCCCAAGCUGGUCUCAUCGUUGGUGGGUGAAACAAAAGAUGAUGGUACCAUGGAAGUUGGAUUACUCCCACCAGCACUUGAAAAAGUUACUAUCAGUCCUCUCCAAGAAAGCCUGCGGUCCUUCACUCCUCAAGGCCUUCUCCACCUCAAAGAGCUAAGUCUCUUUUAUGGCCCAUGUUUGAAGUCUGUACAGCUGCAUUCCUGUACCUCCCUAGUGGAGCUAGGGAUCACGGGGUGUGUCCAGCUGGCUGUACUGGAGGGUUUGCAGUUCCUCACCUCCCUCCGAAGCUUGGAUAUUGAGAUGAGCCCGGAGCUGUCUUCUGCAUGGGAUCUCAAACUGCAGGAGCAAGAACAGGGUGGCAAUCAAAUUCAGCUGCUUCCUCCGUCCCUUGAUAAACUUGAGAUCAGGGCUCUCACGGACAGUGUCCAAUCCCAUCUUCUGUCCUGCCUUCCUGCCAUCACCAAAUUAGCGAUAGGGCGUAGUCCAGAAUUGACAUCUCUACAGCUGGGAUGCUGCACGGCACUAAAAGAGUUGGAAAUUGAAAAAUGCGACUCACUGGAGUCCAUCGAGGGCCUCCAAUUCUGUAGAAACCUGAAAUACCUGAGAGUAUUUAACUCCCCUGGCCUAGCUUCCUUUUUGGAGCUCGUGUCGCACCAGCAAGGGGCCUCUGCGACCUUGUCUGGACUGGAAACUCUUGAGGCCAGUGACGGGUCUGUCCUUUCCAGGUCUUUCUGCAAACAGCUCACAUCUCUAGGACUCCUACAGUUCGGCUCUGAGACUAGUGAAUGGAGAGGAGAGAGCUUGGUGAGCCUAACGGAGGAACAAGAGGGAGCGUUACAGCUUCUAACCUCCCUCCAAGAGCUUCAAUUUCGGAGAUGCCAGAAUCUCUUGUCACUUCCUGCAAAUCUUAAUAGCCUGACCUCCCUCGAGACAUUAUCUAUCAUACAUUGUAAGAGCAUCACAAGGCUGCCAGACAUGGGCCUCCCAACUUCUCUCAGAUCUCUCAAGUUAUUCUACUGUAGUGAGGAGCUAGCCGUGCAAUGCAGAAUUGUAGCAACAGAGAAGCUAAGGGUGAGGAUUGAUCGUCAGGAUGUGAAUUAA